AGGACCUCAACCAGAGCGUUUCAGACAGAGGGUGAAAACAGGUGCUGCAUCACAGCCGGUUUGAGAAAAACAAACUGCGUUUUUUGAAGAUGAAAGCCUGUA
Long non-coding RNA from Sebastes umbrosus (honeycomb rockfish), 102 nucleotides. RefSeq lists it as uncharacterized. The transcript is spliced from 4 exons. NCBI's taxonomy places the organism in Eukaryota, Metazoa, Chordata, Actinopteri, Perciformes, Sebastidae. The record is from RefSeq and is a predicted model, not a curated record.